This 71-nucleotide non-coding RNA is filed under the name unclassified sequences. The record is from RNAcentral.
CUUCUACGAAACUACUACCUCUUCGCGGUGUAGAAGACAACUAGCACUAAAGUUGUGAAACUAAAUGUAGC